This 500-nucleotide ribosomal RNA is filed under the name uncultured bacterium. RNAcentral's name for it is "partial 16S ribosomal RNA". It matches the Rfam family "Bacterial small subunit ribosomal RNA", at positions 30 to 523 of the family's 1533-position model. The record is from RNAcentral.
AUUGAACGCUGGCGGAAUGCUUUACACAUGCAAGUCGAACGGCAGCACGGACUUCGGUCUGGUGGCGAGUGGCGAACGGGUGAGUAAUGUAUCGGAACGUGCCCAGUCGUGGGGGAUAACGUAGUGGAAAUUACGCUAAUACCGCAUACGAUCUAUGGAUGAAAGCGGGGGAUCGCAAGACCGCGCGCGAUUGGAGCGGCCGAUAUCAGAUUAGGUAGUUGGUGGGGUAAAGGCCCACCAAGCCAACGAUCUGUAGCUGGUCUGAGAGGACGACCAGCCACACUGGAACUGAGACACGGUCCAGACUCCUACGGGAGGCAGCAGUGGGGAAUUUUGGACAAUGGGCGAAAGCCUGAUCCAGCCAUUCCGCGUGCAGGAUGAAGGCCCUCGGGUUGUAAACUGCUUUUGUACAGAACGAAAAGGUUUCUACUAAUACUAGGAGCUCAUGACGGUACUGUAAGAAUAAGCACCAGCUAACUACGUGCCAGCCGCCGCCGUAA